UACGUAGGGUGCAAGCGUUGUCCGGAAUUAUUGGGCGUAAAGAGCUCGUAGGCGGUCUGUCGCGUCGGCUGUGAAGACUCGGGGCUCAACUCCGAGCUUGCAGUCGAUACGGGCAGGCUAGAGUUCGGCAGGGGAGACUGGAAUUCCUGGUGUAGCGGUGAAAUGCGCAGAUAUCAGGAGGAACACCGGUGGCGAAGGCGGGUCUCUGGGCCGAUACUGACGCUGAGGAGCGAAAGCGUGGGGAGCGAACAGG
RNAcentral lists this ribosomal RNA (253 nucleotides) under uncultured bacterium. RNAcentral describes it as "partial 16S ribosomal RNA". It matches the Rfam family "Bacterial small subunit ribosomal RNA", at positions 524 to 776 of the family's 1533-position model. The record is from RNAcentral.